This 429-nucleotide ribosomal RNA is filed under the name Actinomycetes bacterium. RNAcentral describes it as "Actinobacteria bacterium partial 16S ribosomal RNA". It matches the Rfam family "Bacterial small subunit ribosomal RNA", at positions 355 to 776 of the family's 1533-position model. Lineage: Bacteria; Bacillati; Actinomycetota; Actinomycetes. The record is from RNAcentral.
UAGGGAAUCUUCCGCAAUGGGCGAAAGCCUGACGGAGCAACGCCGCGUGAGUGAUGAAGGUCUUCGGAUCGUAAAACUCUGCUAUUAGGGAAGAACAAAUGCGUAAGUAACUAUGCACGUCUUGCCGGUACCUAAUCAGAAAGCCACGGCUAACUACGUGCCAGCAGCCGCGGUAAUACGUAGGUGGCAAGCGUUAUCCGGAAUUAUUGGGCGUAAAGCGCGCGUAGGCGGUUUUUUAAGUCUGAUGUGAAAGCCCACGGCUCAACCGUGGAGGGGCAUUGGAAACUGGAAAACUUGAGUGCAGAAGAGGAAAGUGGAAUUCCAUGUGUAGCGGUGAAAUGCGCAGAGAUAUGGAGGAACACCAGUGGCGAAGGCGACUUUCUGGUCUGUAACUGACGCUGAUGUGCGAAAGCGGGGGGAUCAAACAGG